Molecule: non-coding RNA, 31 nt
Filed under: Mus musculus (house mouse)
Lineage: Eukaryota; Metazoa; Chordata; Mammalia; Rodentia; Muridae
Source: RNAcentral
UAGGAGGACAUGAGGUGACCUAUUAAUCCCC